RNAcentral lists this ribosomal RNA (540 nucleotides) under uncultured archaeon. Its description in RNAcentral is "bacterial SSU rRNA". It matches the Rfam family "Archaeal small subunit ribosomal RNA", at positions 457 to 997 of the family's 1478-position model. The record is from RNAcentral.
GGCAGCAGCCGCGGUAACACCGGCAGCUCUAGUGGUAACAAUUUUAUUGGGCCUAAAGCGUCCGUAGCCGGUUUAAUAAGUCUCUGGUGAAAUCCUGUAGCUUAACUGUGGGAAUUGCUGGAGAUACUAUUAGACUUGAGACCGGGAGAGGUUAGAGGUACUCCCAGGGUAGAGGUGAAAUUCUGUAAUCCUGGGAGGACCGCCUGUUGCGAAGGCGUCUAACUGGAACGGUUCUGACGGUGAGGGACGAAAGUUAGGGGCGCGAACCGGAUUAGAUACCCGGGUAGUCCUAACUGUAAACGAUGCGGACUUGGUGUUGGGGUGGCUUUGAGCUGCUCCAGUGCCGAAGGGAAGCUGUUAAGUCCGCCGCCUGGGAAGUACGGUCGCAAGACUGAAACUUAAGGAAUUGGCGGGGGAGCACCACAACGCGUGGAGCCUGCCGGUUUAAUUGGAUUCAACGCCGGACAUCUCACCAGAGGCGACAGCUGUAUGAUAGCCAGGUUGAUGACUUUGCUUGACUAGCUGAGAAGAGGUGCAUGG